GACGAACGCUGGCGGCGUGCCUAAUACAUGCAAGUCGAACGCUUCACUUCGGUGAAGAGUGGCGAACGGGUGAGUAAUACAUAAGUAACCUGGCAUCUACAGGGGGAUAACUGAUGGAAACGUCAGCUAAGACCGCAUAGGUGUAGAGAUCGCAGGACCUCUAUAUGACAGGUGCUACGGGACUGGUAGAUGAUGGACUUAUGGCGCAUUAGCUUGUUGGUAGGGUAACGGCCUACCAAGGCGACAAUGCGUAGCCGACCUGAGAGGGUGACCGGCCAAGCUGGGACUGAGACACGGCCCAGACUCCUACGGGAGGCAGCAGUAGGGAAUUUUCGGCAAUGGGGGAAACCCUGACCGAGCAACGCCGCGUGAAGGAAGAAGUAAUUCGUUAUGUAAACUUCUGUCAUAGAGGAAGAACGGUGGAUAUAGGGAAUGAUAUCCAAGUGACGGUACUCUAUAAGAAAGCCACGGCUAACUACGUGCCAGCCGCCGCCGUAA
RNAcentral lists this ribosomal RNA (498 nucleotides) under uncultured bacterium. Its description in RNAcentral is "partial 16S ribosomal RNA". It matches the Rfam family "Bacterial small subunit ribosomal RNA", at positions 28 to 523 of the family's 1533-position model. The record is from RNAcentral.